Molecule: ribosomal RNA, 370 nt
Filed under: Alphaproteobacteria bacterium
Lineage: Bacteria; Pseudomonadati; Pseudomonadota; Alphaproteobacteria
Description: bacterial SSU rRNA
Rfam family: Bacterial small subunit ribosomal RNA
Source: RNAcentral
CACCGGGAAACUGGUGCUAAUACCGUAUAUCCCCUGAGGGGGAAAGAUUUAUCGCCAUGGGAGGAGCCCGCGUAGGAUUAGCUAGUUGGUGGGGUAAUGGCCUACCAAGGCGACGAUCCUUAGCUGGUCUGAGAGGAUGAUCAGCCACACUGGGACUGAGACACGGCCCAGACUCCUACGGGAGGCAGCAGUGGGGAAUAUUGGACAAUGGGGGAAACCCUGAUCCAGCCAUGCCGCGUGUGUGAUGAAGGCCUUCGGGUUGUAAAGCACUUUCGCACGUGAAGAUGAUGACGGUAACGUGAGAAGAAGCCCCGGCUAACUUCGUGCCAGCAGCCGCGGUAAUACGAAGGGGGCAAGCGUUGUUCGGAAU